CGAGACCUCAGGUCAGGCGGGGCUACCCGCUGAAUUUAAGCAA
Molecule: ribosomal RNA, 43 nt
Filed under: Astragalus ophiocarpus
Lineage: Eukaryota; Viridiplantae; Streptophyta; Magnoliopsida; Fabales; Fabaceae
Description: partial 26S ribosomal RNA
Source: RNAcentral